This 262-nucleotide ribosomal RNA is filed under the name uncultured Mollicutes bacterium. RNAcentral's name for it is "partial 16S ribosomal RNA". It matches the Rfam family "Bacterial small subunit ribosomal RNA", at positions 1121 to 1382 of the family's 1533-position model. Lineage: Bacteria; Bacillati; Mycoplasmatota; Mollicutes. The record is from RNAcentral.
CCAUUUCAGUUUGAGGACUCUAAAUGAGACUGCCAACGACAAGUUGGAGGAAGUGGGGAUGACGUCAAAUCAUCAUGCCCUUUAUGACCUGGGCUACAAACGUACUACAAUGGCCAAUACAAAGAGAUGCGAAGCGGUGACGUGGAGCGAACCUCAGAAAGUUGGUCUCAGUUCAGAUUGAAGUCUGCAACUCGACUUCAUGAAGGCGGAAUCGCUAGUAAUCGCGGGUCAGCAGACCGCGGUGAAUACGUUCCCGGGUUUU